GGAGGGUGCAAGCGUUGUUCGGAAUUAUUGGGCGUAAAGAGCGUGUAGGCGGUCCGGUAAGUCAGAUGUGAAAGCCCUGGGCUCAACCCAGGAAGUGCAUUUGAAACUACCAGACUUGAGUACGGGAGAGGAGGGGGAAUUCCCGGUGUAGAGGUGAAAUUCGUAGAUAUCGGGAGGAAUACCAGUGGCGAAGGCGCCCCUCUGGACCGAUACUGACGCUGAGACGCGAAAGCGUGGGGAGCAAACAGGAUUAGAUACCCUGGUAGUCCACGCCGUAAACGAUGAGCACUAGGUGUAGCGGGUAUUGACCCCCUGCUGUGCCGUAGCUAACGCAUUAAGUGCUCCGCCUGGGGACUACGGUCGCAAGACUA
Molecule: ribosomal RNA, 371 nt
Filed under: uncultured organism
Description: partial 16S ribosomal RNA
Rfam family: Bacterial small subunit ribosomal RNA
Source: RNAcentral